UCCUCGUUAGUAUAGUGGACAGUAUCUCCGCCUGUCAUGCGGAAGACCGGGUUCGAUUCCCUGGCCGGGGAG
RNAcentral lists this transfer RNA (72 nucleotides) under Ameiurus melas (black bullhead). Its description in RNAcentral is "tRNA-Asp". It matches the Rfam family "tRNA". From Rfam's summary of the family: Transfer RNA (tRNA) molecules are approximately 80 nucleotides in length. Their secondary structure includes four short double-helical elements and three loops (D, anti-codon, and T loops). The record is from RNAcentral. Lineage: Eukaryota; Metazoa; Chordata; Actinopteri; Siluriformes; Ictaluridae.